Molecule: ribosomal RNA, 2319 nt
Filed under: Triticum aestivum (bread wheat)
Lineage: Eukaryota; Viridiplantae; Streptophyta; Magnoliopsida; Poales; Poaceae
Description: partial small subunit ribosomal RNA
Source: RNAcentral
UGAUCGAGAGAGCGAGCGGCGAGAGGCAGAGGAGGGGCAGCGGCGAGAGAGAGAGAGAGAGGGGAGGCCGUUGCGGGAGAGGGAGAGGAGCAGCGGCGAGAGAGUGAGAGGAGCAGCGGCGGGAGAGGAGAGGGGCAGCGGCAGGAGAGGGAGAGGGGCAGCGACCGGAGAAGGUGGCGGGAAAAAGGAGUGGUGGGGCGGAGGUGAGUAUGGGGCAUUCAGUUGUUUUAUAGCUAAGAAAAACGCGGCCGCUGCUCGAAGAUCCGCUUCCUGCACACCUACACAUCGCCGCGGUCUCGAGCUAUAUCCGUUGCUUCCGCACCUGCACCUAGCCACGGGCUCGCCGCCUAGACCUCGCCGCCUAGACCUCGCCGCGGGCUCGUUGCCUCCCUCUACCUCAAGGGAGGACCGCACCGCCGAGCUAGACGUUGCGGGCGUCGACGCCAUGCGGUGGGAGCGACGACAGCGUCCCUCUACGGCGAGAAGGGGAAGGGCCAGGCGGGACUACACCAAAGGAGAGGCACUGGGCAGUAGCCUCCGUGCCGGUCUCCGUAGGGGCGGCGCACGUCGACGAUGAGGGCCUACGGCGGCGGCGGGAGGCGUUCCUCGCUGCUAUUGGACUUCGAGACGCCGGGCCACACGCGGCUCGCCGCGCGGCGCCCCCGUGGCAGCGGCCGGCCGGUGUGCUGUAGCGAGAGCAGGUCGAUCUUCGUACGCGACAGCACCGGACGGAGGCCGACGAAGUCGUCCGGUUCUUUGACCUUGCGUGGGUACGGGCCGCUGGAGUCGUAGAGGUAGCUACUACUAUUAAACUAGCUUUUCCCUGCCGUACGACUCCACAUGUUUCCUGUCGAACGACUAACUAUCAAACACCGUCACUUCUCCAAUUGUUUUUAUGAAUUGGUUCGUACGACUCCACUCGUCUCAUCUCUGACGGAUGCUAGUACUAGAUCUCAUCGUACCUCAUUUUACAAACGUUCUCAUGUAAAUGUCCGUACUCAUGUUACUUAAUUGGUUAACAACAGUCAACUUUGAAUUUCAAGUCUGUACUUCAUCAGAAUCUCUGGGUACAUGAGGAACAUAAGUACAACAGUCAACUUCAACCACAAACGUUCUCAUGUAAAUGUCCGUACUCAUGUUACUUAAUUGGUUAACAACAGUCAACUUUGAAUUUCAAGUCUGUACUUCAUCAGAAUCUCUGGGUACAUGAGGAACAUAAGUACAACAGUCAACUUCAACCAUAGAACGAACAAAGGUUCAGAACGCCAACAUGUACUACCAAAGUAGUUUACCUACACUUGACUUACAUACAGGUCAAAUGUGGCUACAUUGGACUAAGACUUUCUUACGGUGUAUGUCUACCGCAGCUGGAACCGGAGGAGCAGCUAGACUGAGACGUAAUUCUUUUGAACGACCGUAGUUCACAGGGGGAAGGAGGUGGCCGUCGGAAGGUAGCUUAAGUGUAGUCUUUUGAAGUAAGUAAGUGGGUCUUUUUUAUUGACUGUAACGGUUGUAGAGUGUUCUUUCUUCUCUCGUCUCAACUUCAACGCUCGGACAAAUGAACGUCGAUGUGGACACAAGAAGAAGAAGAAGCGUCUUAGUUAGUCCAAAUGAACGUCGGAAUGAGUGAAACACAGAAUCAAUUAGUAUAAGGAGUUAACUCCUUGUGGACCUGAACAGUAAGGCCAGAACCCUAGUUGUCAUCGUAUACCUGAAUAGUAAGACCAAAAACCUACUAAAUCAAUUAGUUUAACUGUAGUUAACUGGACAGAAAACCUAGUUAACGUCUAAGAGAACUAACCUCACCUCUCCUCGUCUCUGCUCUCCUCGUCGUCUUCACCUGUCGCGUUGCCGACUGGAGCUCGAGAACUAACCUCAACCCCGUCCGCCGGCCGCUUCCUAGACACCGGUUGUCACUUCCUAGGCUUCGACACCGCCUCGUCCGUCGGCCGCCCUUCCCGCCGGCCGCUCCCUCGACGCCUGGCGCCGCCCCUUCCCGCCGGCUACUCCCUCGACGCCUGGCACCGGCCCUUCCUGCGGUCUCUACGCCUGCUGCCUCCUCGGACCGCUUUCCCUUGUCGCUGCCGCAUCUUCGGACCGCCUCCCCUCCUCGCUGCCUCCUUCUGCGGAGGGCUAACUAAAGUUUAGCCCCCAUCAUAACAUGAAAGUGUGACAAAGUGGACCAGCCUUGCUGCGGGGGUCGCUGUUAAUAAAGCCUUGCCUCCCUCAUUUAUCACCAUCUGUAGCACGUACCUCUUGUGUAUAUGAUGCAGACAAGGUAGGUUAUUUUUUCUUAGUUUAUAUACGUAGAUUAAGAGG